GGAGCUAUCUUUGCUUCUAUUCCAACAACAUUAUUUUGGAUGGCUUAUAUUGCUUGUUCGUUGCUUACAUGGAGUUGAUGGGGUCAGUUAUCUCUCAUUACAAGGAAUCAGUAACACCUCCAAGGAAUCAACCUGUCUAAUUUUAGGCCAUUUGGAAGGCUUUGGCAGGACUACUUUUAAUUCUUUACCAAUCAGUGAAUGACGGAAGUUAAUGGUUGCAUGAGAUUGGAACAAUCUAUACUUUGGUCUAAAAUUGAUUUCGGUGUUUAGAAAUUUUGCGAACAUGUCAAUGGUUAAGUACUAUGACAAACAGACAACUUUAACACCUUAUGCUCCGUUGAGCCCACAGCUCCCAAAAGAGGGGUGAAGGCACCAGUGGCGGCAAAGAAGAAGACCGAUAAGGUUCUGAACCCUUUAUUUGAAAAGCGUCCAAAACAGUUUGGUAUUGGUGGUGCAUUUCCUCCAAAAAGGAUUUCCAUAGGUUCGUGAAAUGGCCAAAAGUUGUCCGCAUUCAACGCCAAAGGAGGAUUUUAAGCAACGUUCGAAGGUUCCACCUGCUUUGAACCAGUUCACAAAGACCUUAGAUAAAAACCUUGGAAAACGAUAAAGUUGGAGGACGAUUUAUAUAGUUUGGUUACAUAUUACUUGGAAUGCUUGUUGGACCUGCAACUGCUGGAAGAGGAGAAUCAUAUUUGUUGAACAAAAGAGAAGGUCAAUUCAUUGCCUGGCAUAUCGCCUAUUUUACUACCGAUCAUCUAAUUUACUGCUGGGAUCGGACGAUGGUGGAUGCUUGCCUUACAGAAGGUGCUCACUACCAGGACCUUGUUCAGGUGCAUAACUCAUAAGUGUUGCAGAUUUGAAAGACAAUCGGCACGCAAGACAAGGCAAAGACUGUUAUCUCAUGCGUGUUUGAUGCCAAUGCUGGAAUUACUUGAAAUGAUAAAUUUGUCUAUGCUCGCGUUAAAUGCUCACAAAGUGUUGGCUCUGAAUUGUGAUUGGUUAAAUAAAAAAAUUUUUUGGUUGCAAGUAUCAUAAUGAAUAGACCUUUCUGCUUGUAUUUCCACAAUGUAUGUAUGAGUGUUGAAAUGUGUGUCGCAGCCUGUGUUUCAGGAUAAAUUGUGUCGCAGGCCUGUAAACUGGAAGCCCAGGUCAGUUAUAAUGGAUCUGGACUAUCCAUUUUUUUAA
This is a long non-coding RNA of Papaver somniferum (opium poppy), 1185 nucleotides long. RefSeq lists it as uncharacterized. The transcript has 9 exons. NCBI's taxonomy places the organism in Eukaryota, Viridiplantae, Streptophyta, Magnoliopsida, Ranunculales, Papaveraceae. The record is from RefSeq and is a predicted model, not a curated record.